GAAUCAACGCUGGCGGCGUGCCUAACACAUGCAAGUCGAACGAGAAAGGGGAGCAAUCCCUGAGUACAGUGGCGACCGGGUGAGUAACACGUGACUACCUACCCUUGAGUGGGGGAUAACCUCGGGGAAACCGAGGCUAAUACCGCAUAAUAUCGCAAGAUCAAAGGAGCAAUCCGCUCUUGGAGGGGUCGCGGCUGAUUAGCUAGUUGGUAGGUAAUGGCCUACCAAGGCGAAGANCAGUAUCCGGCCUGAGAGGGCGGACGGACACACUGGGACUGAGACACGGCCCAGACUCCUACGGGAGGCAGCAGUGGGGAAUUGUUCGCAAUGGGCGCAAGCCUGACGACGCAACGCCGCGUGGAGGAUGAA
This 369-nucleotide ribosomal RNA is filed under the name uncultured bacterium. Its description in RNAcentral is "bacterial SSU rRNA". It matches the Rfam family "Bacterial small subunit ribosomal RNA", at positions 27 to 412 of the family's 1533-position model. The record is from RNAcentral.